RNAcentral lists this ribosomal RNA (408 nucleotides) under uncultured bacterium. Its description in RNAcentral is "partial 16S ribosomal RNA". It matches the Rfam family "Bacterial small subunit ribosomal RNA", at positions 28 to 526 of the family's 1533-position model. The record is from RNAcentral.
GACGAACGCUGGCGGCGUGCUUAACACCUGCAAGUCGAACGGAGUGGCGAACGGGUGAGUAACACGUGGGUGACCUGCCCUGCACUCCGGGAUAAGCCUGGGAAACUGGGUCUAAUACCGGUUAGUGGGGGAUGGGCCCGCGGCCUAGCAGCUUGUUGGUGGGGUAAUGGCUUACCAAGGCGGCGACGGGUAGCCGGCCUGAGCGUGUGGACGGCCACCUUGGGACUGAGACACGGACCAGACUCCUACGGGAGGCAGCAGUGGAGAAGAUUGCACAAUGGGAGGAAGCCUGAUGCAGCGACGCCGCGUGGGGGAUGACGGCCUUCGAGUUGUAAACUCCUUUCACCAUCGACGCGGUAGAUGGAGAAGAAGCACCGGCUAACUACGUGCCAGCAGCCGCGGUAAUAC